This 657-nucleotide ribosomal RNA is filed under the name Oxystomina sp. BCA15. Its description in RNAcentral is "eukaryotic LSU rRNA". It matches the Rfam family "Eukaryotic large subunit ribosomal RNA", at positions 406 to 891 of the family's 3401-position model. Lineage: Eukaryota; Metazoa; Nematoda; Enoplea; Enoplida; Oxystominidae. The record is from RNAcentral.
CGCAGUGAAGUAAAGAGAUAGAGCUGCAAUGUCGCUUUCAAGAUUCAGCUUGACUACACGUGAGGAGUAACUGUUCGGCUUGCUGUUCAGUUGCUUUACUUGCGGCAGUUGGGCGCAUUUUUUGGAAGUGAGCACUGUGUCCGUUAUCUGUGCCGGUAAAACCUUGCUUGAGUGAGGACAGGCCAAUUCGGAAUCUGUUCCCCAUCUCGUAUAGGCUACCUGGUUGCGGAAAAUGUCAUAUUUCUUUGAACUGGCUUGUCGCAGACGAUAUGACAAGGUGUUGGAUAGUUUUUCCUAGUUUUCUGCUUGCAGGAUCUGGGAUAUCCGGUGCUUAUGUUAUAUUUCCCUGCAUUAGUUCAAAGUGUCCACGGUGUAUGUGUCAGCCACCUAUCUCUCCCGUCUUGAAACACGGACCAAGGAGUCUAACAUGUUCGCGAGUCAUUGGGUGCCAAACUCAAAGGCGUAAUGAAAGUAAGCUUCACUUGUGGAGUGAUGUACGAUCUUUUCUUCGGAAAAGCGCAGUACUGUCCUGUCUUAUGUGCAUUGUCAUUGAGGCAGCGAAAGAGCGUACAUGUUGGGACCCGAAAGAUGGUGAACUAUGCCUGAGCAGGAUGAASCCAGAGGAAACUCUGGUGGAGGUCCGUAGCGAUUCUGACG